UAUACAAAUAAUGGAUUGGCC
This 21-nucleotide non-coding RNA is filed under the name Arabidopsis thaliana (thale cress). The record is from RNAcentral. Lineage: Eukaryota; Viridiplantae; Streptophyta; Magnoliopsida; Brassicales; Brassicaceae.